RNAcentral lists this ribosomal RNA (744 nucleotides) under uncultured Acetobacteraceae bacterium. Its description in RNAcentral is "bacterial SSU rRNA". It matches the Rfam family "Bacterial small subunit ribosomal RNA", at positions 8 to 796 of the family's 1533-position model. Lineage: Bacteria; Pseudomonadati; Pseudomonadota; Alphaproteobacteria; Acetobacterales; Acetobacteraceae. The record is from RNAcentral.
AGAGUUUGAUCCUGGCUCAGAACGAACGCUGGCGGCAUGCCUAACACAUGCAAGUCGAACGAGACCUUCGGGGGCAGUGGCGGACGGGUGAGUAACGCGUAGGAACGUGUCCUGGACUGGGGGAUAACGCUGGGAAACUGGCGCUAAUACCGCAUAUCUCCUGAGGGAGAAAGCCGCGAGGCGGUUUGGGAGCGGCCUGCGUCCGAUUAGCUUGUUGGUUAGGUAAUGGCUGACCAAGGCGAUGAUCGGUAGCUGGUCUGAGAGGAUGAUCAGCCACACUGGGACUGAGACACGGCCCAGACUCCUACGGGAGGCAGCAGUGGGGAAUAUUGGACAAUGGGCGCAAGCCUGAUCCAGCAAUUCCGCGUGGGUGAAGAAGGUCUUCGGAUUGUAAAGCCCUUUCGGCGGGGACGAUGAUGACGGUACCCGCAGAAGAAGCCCCGGCUAACUUCGUGCCAGCAGCCGCGGUAAUACGAAGGGGGCUAGCGUUGCUCGGAAUGACUGGGCGUAAAGGGCGCGUAGGCGGCACGGACAGUCAGGCGUGAAAUUCCUGGGCUUAACCUGGGGGCUGCGUUUGAUACGUUCGAGCUAGAGGAUGGAAGAGGCUCGUGGAAUUCCCAGUGUAGAGGUGAAAUUCGUAGAUAUUGGGAAGAACACCGGUGGCGAAGGCGGCGAGCUGGUCCAUUACUGACGCUGAGGCGCGAAAGCGUGGGGAGCAAACAGGAUUAGAUACCCCGGUAGUCC